CCUACGGGGGGCAGCAGUGAGGAAUAUUGGUCAAUGGCCGGAAGGCUGAACCAGCCAUGCCGCGUGAAGGUCAGUGCCCUAUGGGCGUUAAACUUCUUUUGUGCGGGAGCAAUAAUGGUCACGUGUGGCCAGACGAGAGUACCGUACGAAUAAGCAUCGGCUAACUCCGUGCCAGCAGCCGCGGUAAUACGGGGGAUGCAAGCGUUUUCCGGAUUUAUUGGGUUUAAAGGGUGCGUAGGCUGUGAGGUAAGUCAGCGGUGAAAUGCCCCCGCUCAACGGGGUGAAGUGCCAUUGAUACUGCCUGGCUGGAAUGCGGAUGCCGUGGGAGGAAUGUGUGGUGUAGCGGUGAAAUGCAGAGAUAUCACACAGAACACCGAUUGCGAAGGCAUCUCACGAAUCCGCGAUUGACGCUGAUGCACGAAAGCGUGGGUAUCAAACAGGAUUAGAUACCCUUGUAGUC
This 460-nucleotide ribosomal RNA is filed under the name uncultured bacterium. RNAcentral's name for it is "partial 16S ribosomal RNA". It matches the Rfam family "Bacterial small subunit ribosomal RNA", at positions 338 to 795 of the family's 1533-position model. The record is from RNAcentral.